Molecule: long non-coding RNA, 1286 nt
Filed under: Homo sapiens (human)
Lineage: Eukaryota; Metazoa; Chordata; Mammalia; Primates; Hominidae
Description: HSALNT0408518
Source: RNAcentral
CUCACAGUACUCUCCUAAGCCCUGUCCUCCCUGACAACUUAGUUGCUUUAUCUUUCCAGGAGCACCCUCACAUUCCUAUAUUGUGCACACUCAAGACAAUUUCCCAGUGUCCACUUCCUGGCUGAAUCAAUUUCCACAACCAUGACGUGUAACUCCAGCUCAUCUCACCAAAGGGCAUUUUAGCAAGUCACUGCAGAUGCUGCAACUCGGAAAAACACGUUUAGUUAGGAUCUGAUGAGUCUUCUCCAUUAGAUAAAUGUUGUGAGGUGGAACUUACUGUAAUUUCCUUCUCUCCACCCAAGAUCUAAAAUUUUUCUCUGAGUUGGCUCCCUCUCUACCUUCAGUCUCCCUUCCUGGAAGAUUUACCCCAGCAAGGAUGUCUUCUUUCAGAUGGAUAUGAGUUGGCCAUACUCAAGAACCUGAAGGUGCUCAGGAUCUGCUUCAUGAUCUCCGUGGCUAUCCCUUUCACUUUCCGGAGGUGCCUUCUAGACAUCUUGACAUCGUGGUGAAGAUGGAAAGAGUGUUUUACUAGACAUGCCAAGAAAGGCUCUCCCAGUUCAAGUUUGCUUGUUUGGUUGUUUUUUUGUUUUGUUUUUUGUUCGUUUGAGAGACAGACCUUUUUACCAAGGUGGCUAACACAAAGAAUUAACUUGUCCAGCUGAGAACUCACCCCUGAGUCACAGAGGUUUAUGUUACUCUGGUUAACUCAAACAUAGAACCACAACUAAGCAAACCGCAACAACUGCGGCAUUCAUAAAACAAGAAUCAUGCUUAGGCAGUCAUUUAAGUGGGCUCAUCACAGGACAGUAAAUAAUGACAAAAGAAAGCAGGGUGUGGAAGGGAAUUGUGAUGUUAAUAACUCGUACAAUGCUUAAAUGCAUGCCCGGCACUGUUCUAAAUUAAAUCCUUCAAUGAUCACUACAACUUUGUUAGGUAAUGACACAUAUCCCUCAUUUUAUGAAUGGGGAAACUAAGGCACAGCAAAGCUAGAUAACUUGUUUGAGAUCACACAAUCGGUGGCAAUGCUGGAAUUUGAACCCAGAGAAUCUGGUGUAACAGUUCACACUCAAGCCACCACUUUGAGAGGAAUCAAGGGAAAAAGAAGAGAGAUCUAAGAGAAUAAAAAGGGGAGGAAGGAGGAGGAAAAACUCAGCUCACUAACACCUGAAGGCAAUUGCUACAUGGUACCCAGCCUCCUUUUUCAGGCCCACACCCAGGUCUUUGCAGUCCCCACCUCUACCUCUGUUAUCAAGCUUCCUAAAAUGACAUGAUUUGGGGAUAAGUGU